RNAcentral lists this ribosomal RNA (769 nucleotides) under uncultured Gram-positive bacterium. RNAcentral describes it as "bacterial SSU rRNA". It matches the Rfam family "Bacterial small subunit ribosomal RNA", at positions 9 to 795 of the family's 1533-position model. The record is from RNAcentral.
GAGUUUGAUCCUGGCUCAAAACGAGCGCUGGGGGCGUGCUUAACACAUGCAAGUCAAACGAGGCUGAACCUUCGUUUCCGGCCAAGUGGCAAACGGGUGAGUAACACGUGAGGAACCUGCCCCGGAGACCGGGAUAACCAGGGGAAACUCUGGCUAAUACCGGAUGCCCCCGGAUGGUCGGAUGGCCAACCGAGGAAACGCUCCGGUGCUCCAGGAGGGCCUCCCGGCCUAUAAUAUUGUUGGGGGGGUAACGGCCUACCAAGGCAUCAACGGCUAUCUGUUCUGAGAGGACGAUCAGCCACACUGGGACUGAGACACGGCCCAGACUCCUACGGGAGGCAGCAGUGGGGAAUAUUGCGCAAUGGGCGAAAGCCUGACGCAGCAACGCCGCGUGGGGGAUGAAUGCCUUCGGGUUGUAAACCCCUUUCAGCGGGGACGAAAAUGCCGGUACCUGCAGAAGAAGCCCCGGCCAAAUACGUGCCAGCAGCCGCGGUAACACGUAGGGGGCAAGCGUUGUCCGGAUUUAUUGGGCGUAAAGAGCUCGUAGGCGGUUGCGUAAGUCGGAUGUGAAAACUCAGGGCUCAACCCGGAGACGCCAUCCGAUACUGCGCUGACUAGAGUCCGGUAGAGGAGCAUGGAAUUCCUGGUGUAGCGGUGAAAUGCGCAGAUAUCAGGAGGAACACCAGUGGCGAAGGCGGCGCUCUGGGCCGGCACUGACGCUGAGGAGCCAAAGCGUGGGUAGCGAACAGGAUUAGAUACCCUGGUAGUC